RNAcentral lists this ribosomal RNA (490 nucleotides) under uncultured bacterium. RNAcentral describes it as "partial 16S ribosomal RNA". It matches the Rfam family "Bacterial small subunit ribosomal RNA", at positions 30 to 507 of the family's 1533-position model. The record is from RNAcentral.
AUUGAACGCUGGCGGCAGGCCUAACACAUGCAAGUCGAACGGUAACAGGAAGCAGCUUGCUGCUUUGCUGACGAGUGGCGGACGGGUGAGUAAUGUCUGGGAAACUGCCUGAUGGAGGGGGAUAACUACUGGAAACGGUAGCUAAUACCGCAUAACGUCGCAAGACCAAAGAGGGGGACCUUAGGGCCUCUUGCCAUCGGAUGUGCCCAGAUGGGAUUAGCUAGUAGGUGGGGUAACGGCUCACCUAGGCGACGAUCCCUAGCUGGUCUGAGAGGAUGACCCGCCACCCUGGAACUGAGACACGGUCCAGACUCCUACGGGGGGCAGCAGUGGGGAAUAUUGCACAAUGGGCGAAAGCCUGAUGCAGCCAUGCCGCGUGUAUGCAGAAGGCCUUCGGGUUGUAAAGUACUUUCAGCGGGGAGGAAGGGAGUCAAGUUAAUACCUUUGCUCAUUGACGUUACCCGCAGAAGAAGCACCGGCUAACUCCGUG